AACGAACGCUGGCGGCAUGCCUAACACAUGCAAGUCGAACGAGACCUUCGGGUCUAGUGGCGCACGGGUGCGUAACGCGUGGGAACCUGCCCUUAGGUUCGGAAUAACUCCCCGAAAGGGGUGCUAAUACCGGAUAAUGUCUUCGGACCAAAGAUUUAUCGCCUUUGGAUGGGCCCGCGUUGGAUUAGCUAGUUGGUAGGGUAAAAGCCUACCAAGGCGACGAUCCAUAGCUGGUCUGAGAGGAUGAUCAGCCACACUGGGACUGAGACACGGCCCAGACUCCUACGGGAGGCAGCAGUGGCGAAUAUUGGACCAUGGGCGAAAGCCUGAUCCAGCAAUGCCGCGUGAGUGAUGAAGGCCUUAGGGUUGUAAAGCUCUUUUACCCGGGAUGAUAAUGACAGUACCGGGAGAAUAAGCUCCGGCUAACUCCGUG
Molecule: ribosomal RNA, 433 nt
Filed under: uncultured bacterium
Lineage: Bacteria
Description: partial 16S ribosomal RNA
Rfam family: Bacterial small subunit ribosomal RNA
Source: RNAcentral